GAUGAACGCUGGCGGCGUGCCUAAUACAUGCAAGUCGAGCGAACGGACGAGAAGCUUGCUUCUCUGAUGUUAGCGGCGGACGGGUGAGUAACACGUGGAUAACCUACCUAUAAGACUGGGAUAACUUCGGGAAACAGGAGCUAAUACCGGAUAAUAUUUUGAACCGCAUGGUUCAAAAGUGAAAGACGGUCUUGCUGUCACUUAUAGAUUGAUCCGCGCUGCAUUAGCUAGUUGGUAAGGUAACGGCUUACCAAGGCAACGACGCAUAGCCGACCUGAGAGGGUGAUCAGCCACACUGGAACUGAGACACGCUCCAGACGCCUACGGUAGGCAGCAGUAGGGAAUCUUCCGCAAUGGGCGAAAGCCUGACGGAGGAACGCCGCGCGAGUAAUGAAGGUCUUCGGAUCGUAAAACUCUGUUAUGAGGGAAGAACAUAUGUGUAAGUAACUGUGCACAUCUUGACGGUACCUAAUCAGAAAGCCACGGCUAACUACGUG
RNAcentral lists this ribosomal RNA (497 nucleotides) under uncultured bacterium. RNAcentral describes it as "partial 16S ribosomal RNA". It matches the Rfam family "Bacterial small subunit ribosomal RNA", at positions 28 to 507 of the family's 1533-position model. The record is from RNAcentral.